RNAcentral lists this long non-coding RNA (294 nucleotides) under Mustela putorius furo (domestic ferret). RNAcentral's name for it is "lncRNA (ENSMPUG00000028750.1)". Lineage: Eukaryota; Metazoa; Chordata; Mammalia; Carnivora; Mustelidae. The record is from RNAcentral.
AUGUCUCUAGCUACCCUUCCACCUCCACUGGCCACACAGAAGAUGCUGAGAGCUGAGUGGGACCACUUUCUCCCCAUCCCUUCUGGCCAGGAAAUCCAAGAAUUGUGCAUGAUUCUUUCAUCAGAUUUUCUUUCUGUAUCAGGGGAUUUAAGCAACUGAAUCAAUUUACAUUCCUGCCAACUGUGCACAAGACUUCCCUUCUCUCCACAUCCUCACCAACUGUUAUUUCUUGUCUUCUUGAUGAGAGCCUUUCUAACAGGUAUGAGACGAUAUCUCAGUGUGUUUUGAUUUGCA